UACGAAGGGGGCGAGCGUUGUUCGGAUUUACUGGGCGUAAAGGGCGCGCAGGCGGCUUAUUUUGUCAGGCGUGAAAGCCCCGGGCUUAACCUGGGAACUGCGUUUGAUACGGAUGGGCUAGAGUUCGGGAGAGGAGAGUGGAAUUCCCAGUGUAGAGGUGAAAUUCGUAGAUAUUGGGAAGAACACCGGUGGCGAAGGCGACUCUCUGGACCGAUACUGACGCUGAGGCGCGAAAGCGUGGGGAGCAAACAGG
Molecule: ribosomal RNA, 253 nt
Filed under: uncultured bacterium
Lineage: Bacteria
Description: partial 16S ribosomal RNA
Rfam family: Bacterial small subunit ribosomal RNA
Source: RNAcentral